CGCAUCUGUGCAUGCAGCAUAUCAAUAAGCGGAGGAAAAGAAACUAACAAGGAUUCCCCUAGUAACGGCGAGUGAAGCGGGAAGAGCUCAAAUUUGAAAUCUUAAAGGGUUUCCCUUUACGAAUUGUAGUUUAAAGAAGUGUUUUCUGUUGAGGUUUUGGUAAAAGUUCUUUGGAAUAGGACAUCAUAGAGGGUGAGAAUCCCGUAUUUGACCUUUACUUUCAACUUUGUGAUACACUUUCAAAGAGUCGGAUUGUUUGGGAAUGCAGUCCAAAAUGGGUGGUAAAUUUCAUCUAAAGCUAAAUAUUGGCGAGAGACCGAUAGCGAACAAGUACCGUGAGGGAAAGAUGAAAAGAACUUUGAAAAGAGAGUUAAACAGUACGUGAAAUUGUCAAAAGGGAAGCGUUUGACACCAGUGUUGUUUUUCUGAAAAUCAAUUAAAGAACUGUUUAUGCUAAGUUGUUUAGACUUUAUCAGCUAACUGUUUAGUUUUGAGCUUUUCUUUAAUGCACUUUUCAGUUAACAAGUCAACAUCAAUUUCUUUUGCUGUAAAAAAGCUUGAGGAAGGUGACUUGAGAUUCGUCUUAAGUGUUUAUAGCCUCUUGCCUAUGCAGUCGGAGAGAUUGAGGUCUGCAGCGUAGAUCCUUCGGGGCUAAAUGCAUUUGUGCUAAGUUAUAGCAUUUUAUAGACAACUUGUUGACUAUGAUUUGUCUUGUAGCUUACUCGCUUAUGUUAUUUUACCUACGCUUAGGAUGUUGACGAGACUGUCGAUCUC
This 774-nucleotide ribosomal RNA is filed under the name uncultured Neocallimastigales. Its description in RNAcentral is "partial large subunit ribosomal RNA". It matches the Rfam family "Eukaryotic large subunit ribosomal RNA", at positions 26 to 646 of the family's 3401-position model. Lineage: Eukaryota; Fungi; Neocallimastigomycota; Neocallimastigomycetes; Neocallimastigales. The record is from RNAcentral.